This 22-nucleotide microRNA is filed under the name Asparagus officinalis (garden asparagus). RNAcentral's name for it is "aof-miR477b". Its record names the gene aof-miR477b. The record is from miRBase by way of RNAcentral. Lineage: Eukaryota; Viridiplantae; Streptophyta; Magnoliopsida; Asparagales; Asparagaceae.
AUCUCUCUCCCUCAAAGGCUCU